This 1577-nucleotide unclassified non-coding RNA is filed under the name Hevea brasiliensis (rubber tree). Lineage: Eukaryota; Viridiplantae; Streptophyta; Magnoliopsida; Malpighiales; Euphorbiaceae. The record is from RNAcentral.
AAUUUAAAUUGAAUUCUAUAAAUCUAUUCUGAAUAAUUAUUUACUGCAUAUAAAAUAAUUUAUAUUUAAUAUUCAAUUUAUGAAAAAUAGAAUAAAAAAACUACAUGUAAAAAAAAUUAAUAAAAAUAAAUUAGCCCAAUAACCAUCACUCCAUUACCACCAUCAGCCCAUUACCAUUAUAAGCCUUAUUACAUAUUACAGUUUCAAUCAAUAAUAGACCGACACUUCAUUGAGAGCAGCAAAGGCAAUCCAAUACAGCUACAUAACUUCUUCUUCUUUUUUUCUCUUUUCUUCCUCCAAUCAUUCUCUGCAAUUGGUGGGCUAACCUCACUGGGGCGCGCCUACCGGCACCUGAGUGCACCUUUGCUGCUCUAAGGUGCUGCCCUUCGCGCCCAAUGAGCCUUGCGCCUCAGGGGCACCUUUAAUAACACUGUUUUUGCCUUGCAUCUCUAGAUCUUUCAGUCUCUCCUUUUUUUAGCUACAAAUUCAUACCCACCUCGUAUUUUUUGCUUGCCAAGCUCAAAAGACUACCUGCACAGAUCAGUAAGUUCUUUCCUCCCUCUCUUAUCUUUAUCUCUGUUUUUUAGUAUUCAUAUUCAUAUAUGUGUUUGGAUUGACAGGUAGAUGUGAGAUCUUUGUUUGUUCACUUGUUUUUUUAAUUGUUUUGCUAGAAGUUUGCUGUCUAGUAAUGCAGCACAACUGCAUCCAACAAAGAUCCAACAUGCACAUGUCGUUCCACACUUCAACAGAAUCCUAUUAAACUCCUCUAGCAUUGGUUUCACCAGAAAUUGCUAUAGUUCUAUUCAAGUUUGGUGGGCAGGUAAUGUUAUUCUUAUGGAAAAUAUUCUAAUCGGAUGGACUCUACAAUGAAAUUCUAGCUAAACGGAAUAGAAAUAGCAUAUCAGAAAUAGUAUAAUUUACAAGGAGGCUUGUUGGCUUUCUUUUUGUUUUCUACAUAUUUGUGACAUGCUGGUUCAAUUACACUUAGUAUGCCACGUUUUGCCCUUUUGGUUGGAUUUUUUAGUUCAAUUGAUGUUGCAGUUGCUUCGGAUGAACUUUAAAUGUUUCCUAGAAAUUUGAGAGUUUGUUUUUUGGUUCAAGAAGAUGAUUAUCUCAUGCAAUGUUAGCAAAACUAUAUCAUUUUUAUAAAAUUUUAAAUGGUCUUUUUAAUUCCUUUUUCCAACUAAAAAAGAUUUGAUCAAUGGCACUCUAGACUAAGUAAAAAAAAAUUUAAAACUAAUAAUAAUUUAGAGUAGAGCUUAGAGCUUAUCAAUCCAUCAUACUAUACAUGUCUCAUGCUUUGCUUUUUGCAUGCUAAAUUUAGUAACUCUAGGAAAUAUUUAUGUCAAGUUACCCAUCACUUUUGUGAAAACAGUCAACUUUAAUUUAGUCAUUAAAGGAGCUAAACAACACUGAAAUUGGAAACUUAAACUGCGUAUUUAGUUGCUGCUUAUCAAUAAACACUGAAAAGUGCUUCCAUUUGUUAUUUUUUUAAUUUGAAAGGAUAAAACAGUAUUUUUUAUGGGAUUUUGUUGGGAGUUGAUCUGCAUUUAGAUAGGAACUCAAAUGACUGACAU